Molecule: ribosomal RNA, 305 nt
Filed under: uncultured bacterium
Lineage: Bacteria
Description: partial 16S ribosomal RNA
Rfam family: Bacterial small subunit ribosomal RNA
Source: RNAcentral
ACAGCAGUCGCCGCGGGAAUACAGAGGGUGCGAGCGUUAAUCGGAUUUACUGGGCGUAAAGCGUGCGUAGGCGGCUUCUUAAGUCGGAUGUGAAAUCCCUGAGCUUAACUUAGGAAUUGCAUUCGAUACUGGGAAGCUAGAGUAUGGGAGAGGAUGGUAGAAUUCCAGGUGUAGCGGUGAAAUGCGUAGAGAUCUGGAGGAAUACCGAUGGCGAAGGCAGCCAUCUGGCCUAAUACUGACGCUGAGGUACGAAAGCAUGGGGAGCAAACAGGAUUAGAUACCCCCGUAGUCCCUGUCUCUUAUAA